AUGAACGCUGGCGGCGUGCCUAAUACAUGCAGGUCGAGCGCACGGACGAGAAGCUUGCUUCUCUGAUGUUAGCGGCGGACGGGUGAGUAACACGUGGAUAACCUACCUAUAAGACUGGGAUAACUUCGGGAAACCGGAGCUAAUACCGGAUAAUAUUUUGAACCGCAUGGUUCAAAAGUGAAAGACGGUCUUGCUGUCACUUAUAGAUGGAUCCGCGCUGCAUUAGCUAGUUGGUAAGGUAACGGCUUACCAAGGCAACGAUGCAUAGCCGACCUGAGAGGGUGAUCGGCCACACUGGAACUGAGACACGGUCCAGACUCCUACGGGAGGCAGCAGUAGGGAAUCUUCCGCAAUGGGCGAAAGCCUGACGGAGCAACGCCGCGUGAGUGAUGAAGGUCUUCGGAUCGUAAAACUCUGUUAUUAGGGAAGAACAUAUGUGUAAGUAACUGUGCACAUCUUGACGGUACCUAAUCAGAAAGCCACGGCUAACUACGUG
RNAcentral lists this ribosomal RNA (496 nucleotides) under uncultured bacterium. RNAcentral describes it as "partial 16S ribosomal RNA". It matches the Rfam family "Bacterial small subunit ribosomal RNA", at positions 29 to 507 of the family's 1533-position model. The record is from RNAcentral.